GCAGGCCUAACACAUGCAAGUCGAGCGGAUGAGGGAAGCUUGCUUCCCGAUUUAGCGGCGGACGGGUGAGUAAUGCCUAGGAAUCUGCCUAUUAGUGGGGGAUAACGUUCCGAAAGGAACGCUAAUACCGCAUACGUCCUACGGGAGAAAGUGGGGGAUCUUCGGACCUCACGCUAAUAGAUGAGCCUAGGUCGGAUUAGCUAGUUGGUGGGGUAACGGCUCACCAAGGCGACGAUCCGUAGCUGGUCUGAGAGGAUGAUCAGCCACACUGGAACUGAGACACGGUCCAGACUCCUACGGGAGGCAGCAGUGGGGAAUAUUGGACAAUGGGCGAAAGCCUGAUCCAGCCAUGCCGCGUGUGUGAAGAAGGUCUUCGGAUUGUAAAGCACUUUAAGUUGGGAGGAAGGGUUGUAAGCUAAUAUCUUGCAGCUUUGACGUUACCAACAGAAUAAGCACCGGCUAACUCUGUGCCAGCAGCCGCGGUAAUACAGAGGGUGCAAGCGUUAGUCGGAAUUACUGGGCGUAAAGCGCGCGUAGGCGGCUUAGUAAGUUGGAUGUGAAAGCCCCGGGCUCAACCUGGGAACUGCAUCCAAAACUGCUUGGCUAGAGUACAGUAGAGGGUGGUGGAAUU
This 631-nucleotide ribosomal RNA is filed under the name uncultured bacterium. RNAcentral's name for it is "bacterial SSU rRNA". It matches the Rfam family "Bacterial small subunit ribosomal RNA", at positions 42 to 668 of the family's 1533-position model. The record is from RNAcentral.